CUGCAUUAUUGUAGAGCGCUUAGAGACAUCUGACAAAGUAAGUGUUAGGCGCUAUAUAAGCACUG
Non-coding RNA from Strongylocentrotus purpuratus (purple sea urchin), 65 nucleotides. The record is from RefSeq and is marked provisional. NCBI's taxonomy places the organism in Eukaryota, Metazoa, Echinodermata, Echinoidea, Camarodonta, Strongylocentrotidae.